This 391-nucleotide ribosomal RNA is filed under the name Chlorella sp. MACC 406. RNAcentral's name for it is "partial small subunit ribosomal RNA". It matches the Rfam family "Eukaryotic small subunit ribosomal RNA", at positions 609 to 1015 of the family's 1831-position model. The record is from RNAcentral. Lineage: Eukaryota; Viridiplantae; Chlorophyta; Trebouxiophyceae; Chlorellales; Chlorellaceae.
GWASUKGCKGSAGUUAAAGCUCGUAGUUGGAUUUCGGGUGGGGCCUGCCGGUCCGCCKUUUCGGUGUGCACUGGCWGGGCCCACCUUGUUGCCGGGRACGGGCUCCUGGGCUUCACUGUCCGGGACUCGGAGUCGGCGCUGUUACUUUGAGUAAAUUARAGUGUUCAAAGCAGGCCUACGCUCUGAAUACWUUASCAUGGAAUAACACGAUAGGACUCUGGCCUAUCCUGUUGGUCUGUAGGACCGGAGUAAUGAUUAAKAGGGACAGUCGGGGGCAUUCGUAUUUCAUWGUCAGAGGUGAAAUUCUUGGAUUUAUGAAAGACGAACUACUGCGAAAGCAUUUGCCAAGGAUGUUUUCAUUAAUCAAGAACGAAAGUUGGGGGCUCGAAGA